Daphnia carinata is the source of this 1325-nucleotide RNA transcript. It is a transcript of the gene named GTP-binding protein Rheb-like, with no coding region annotated. The transcript is spliced from 7 exons. Lineage: Eukaryota; Metazoa; Arthropoda; Branchiopoda; Diplostraca; Daphniidae. The record is from RefSeq and is a predicted model, not a curated record.
AUGUGUGUGUUUUGCAACGCUGUAUGUUGUAAACAGCUGUAAGUAGCUGUCUAAACAGAAAGAACACGUUUUAUUUUCUACAGUUUGAUCAGAUCUUAUCUUGCAAUAGCUUAUUCAUAAAAAAAGAAUUUUAGCAAAAACACCGAGGGAAUAAGUGUAUCGCGCAAAAGAUUCGAUAUAAGUUAACACAUUUCGUCAAGCAUGCCACCUCAAAGGAAGCAGAGGAAAAUAGCUAUAAUGGGCUAUCGUUCAGUCGGAAAAUCAUCAUUGACAAUUCAAUUUGUGGAGAAUCAAUUUGUUGACUCAUACGACCCUACAAUUGAGAACACAUUUACUAAACCAUGGAAAGUUCGUGGGCAAGAUUUUGAGCUUAAAUUUGUUGAUACGGCUGGUCAAGAUGAAUAUGCUAUUUUCCCAGCACAACAUUCAAUGGACAUGCAUGGUUAUGUUCUUGUUUACUCUAUUACUUCAGUUCAAAGUUUUGAACUUCUUCAAGUUUUGUUAGAAAAGAUCAUGGAUAUGACUGGUAAAAUCAAAAUACCUCUUGUUAUUGUUGGUAAUAAAACGGACCUCCACCGCGAAAGAGUUGUCAGUACAGAAGAAGGCAAGAGACUAGCCGAUACUUGGAAAGCAUCGUUUUAUGAAGUUUCUGCCAGAUCGCACGAGUCUGUCUGCGAAAUUUUUAACAGGCUAAUUACAGAGAUGGAAAAAGCAGACAGCAGUAAUGGAAACGAGAAAAGUAGUUGCAUUAUCUCCUGAGCGGGUAUAGAAGGUAGACGUGUCUACUAGGGCCUAUUCGUUUUUUUUUUCUUCUAAUAAUAUUAUGCAGUGUUCUCGUAACGACCGUUUUCUGGUUUUCUUUCUGGAUUUGUGUCAAACAACAAGUUAAAGACAUUCAUGGAAUUUUGUAUUCUGAUUUUGAAUGUCUAAAAUGACACGAGAAAUUUGAACUAAUGUGAUAGAUCUGAAUGGGUUUUUUUUUCAGAAAAGACUCACAUCGUUCUACACAGUGGAUAGUAAUGAAAUUCAAUCAGAAACUCCGCAAGACAUAUUUUCGCCAACGUGAACGGUAUUAAAUGUCCCUUAUCAUCAAGCUAACAUUUCAGGGGAACGAGCAAGCCGGAUCCAUCAACGGUGACAACUUUCCAGAUCAACAAUCAGUAUCUUGUUUUCCAUGGUAGUACAUACAUUAUUUUACACCGCUUUAACUUAAGUCCAUGUUCGAAUCGCUUGACGUGCCAGCCAUAUUUCCGUGAUGUCCGGAGCCGUCUUUCUGUAUAGAGUCGAAAAGAGCCUAAACAAAGAAGAUACUAUCAGAAGACGAA